UGGUGGAGUGAUUUGUCUGGUUAAUUCCGAUAACGAACGAGACUCUGUCCUGCUAACUAGGUUGUGUUUUCCCGGGUUGGUGUUCUGGUGUUCCUUCUCGGGGCGCCGGCCCAAUCCACUUGUGAACACAACACUCUUCUUAGAGGGACUGGCGGCUGUUAGCCGCACGAGAUAGAGCAAUAACA
This 185-nucleotide ribosomal RNA is filed under the name uncultured eukaryote. Its description in RNAcentral is "partial 18S ribosomal RNA". It matches the Rfam family "Eukaryotic small subunit ribosomal RNA", at positions 1299 to 1458 of the family's 1831-position model. The record is from RNAcentral.